ACGGGAGGCAGCAGUCGGGAAUAUUGCGCAAUGGAGGAAACUCUGACGCAGUGACGCCGCGUAUAGGACGAAGGUCUUCGGAUUGUAAACUAUUGUCGUUAGGGAAGAGAAAGGACAGUACCUAAGGGGGAAGCUCCGGCUAACUACGUGCCAGCAGCCGCGGUAAUACGUAGGGAGCAAGCGUUAUCCGGAUUUAUUGGGUGUAAAGGGUGCGUAGACGGGAAAGCAAGUUAGUUGUGAAAUCCCUCGGCUUAACUGAGGAACUGCAACUAAAACUGUUUUUCUUGAGUGUUGGAGAGGAAAGCGGAAUUCCUAGUGUAGCGGUGAAAUGCGUAGAUAUUAGGAGGAACACCAGUGGCGAAGGCGGCUUUCUGGACAAUAACUGACGUUGAGGCACGAAAGUGUGGGGAGCAAACAGGAUUAGAUACCCUGGUA
Molecule: ribosomal RNA, 435 nt
Filed under: uncultured Oscillospiraceae bacterium
Lineage: Bacteria; Bacillati; Bacillota; Clostridia; Eubacteriales; Oscillospiraceae
Description: bacterial SSU rRNA
Rfam family: Bacterial small subunit ribosomal RNA
Source: RNAcentral